GACGAACGCUGGCGGCGUGCUUAACACAUGCAAGUCGAACGGAAAGGCCCAGCUUGCUGGGUACUCGAGUGGCGAACGGGUGAGUAACACGUGGGUUAUCUGCCCUCAACUUUGGGAUAAGCCUAGGAAACUGGGUCUAAUACCCGAUAUGAUCAACUGUCGCAUGUGGGUUGGUGGAAAGCUUUUGCGGUUGGGGAUGGGCCCGCGGCCUAUCAGCUUGUUGGUGGGGUAAUGGCCUACCAAGGCGACGACGGGUAGCCGACCUGAGAGGGUGACCGGCCACACUGGGACUGAGACACGGCCCAGACUCCUACGGGAGGCAGCAGUGGGGAAUAUUGCACAAUGGGCGCAAGCCUGAUGCAGCGACGCCGCGUGAGGGAUGACGGCCUUCGGGUUGUAAACCUCUUUCGCCAGGGACGAAGCGUGAGUGACGGUACCUGGAGAAGAAGCACCGGCCAACUACGUG
This 466-nucleotide ribosomal RNA is filed under the name uncultured bacterium. Its description in RNAcentral is "partial 16S ribosomal RNA". It matches the Rfam family "Bacterial small subunit ribosomal RNA", at positions 28 to 507 of the family's 1533-position model. The record is from RNAcentral.